CUGAGUGAGGGCUCCGGCCCGACCUCCAACCCCUAUGUAUUCCGACUCUGUUGCCUCGGGGGCGACCCUGCCUUCACGGGCGUUGGGGCCCCCGGUGGACACCACAACUCUGCAUCUUUGCGUCUGAGUAACACUUUUGAAUUAAAUCA
This 149-nucleotide unclassified non-coding RNA is filed under the name uncultured fungus. RNAcentral's name for it is "sequence contains ITS1". Lineage: Eukaryota; Fungi. The record is from RNAcentral.